RNAcentral lists this ribosomal RNA (253 nucleotides) under uncultured bacterium. Its description in RNAcentral is "partial 16S ribosomal RNA". It matches the Rfam family "Bacterial small subunit ribosomal RNA", at positions 524 to 776 of the family's 1533-position model. The record is from RNAcentral.
GACGAACUGUCCUAACGUUGUUCGGAAUCACUGGGCUUAAAGGGCGCGUAGGCGGUCCGACAAGUCAGGGGUGAAAUCCUGCAGCUUAACUGCAGAAGUGCCUUUGAUACUGUCGGUCUUGAGGGAGAUAGGGGUGUGCGGAACUCACAGUGGAGCGGUGAAAUGCGUUGAUAUUGUGAGGAACGCCGGAGGCGAAAGCGGCGCACUGGAUCUCUUCUGACGCCGAGGCGCGAAAGCUAGGGGAGCAAACGGG